GCUAAUGAGAGACUAAGGGGCUAUGAUUGAGCCCUUCCAAGGCUCGGGCCCGGGUUCGAUUCCCGGCAGACGCACCA
RNAcentral lists this transfer RNA (77 nucleotides) under Candidatus Thorarchaeota archaeon. Its description in RNAcentral is "tRNA-Gly". The record is from RNAcentral. Lineage: Archaea; Promethearchaeati; Candidatus Thorarchaeota.